RNAcentral lists this ribosomal RNA (265 nucleotides) under uncultured bacterium. RNAcentral describes it as "partial 16S ribosomal RNA". It matches the Rfam family "Bacterial small subunit ribosomal RNA", at positions 524 to 777 of the family's 1533-position model. The record is from RNAcentral.
UACGAAGGGGGCGAGCGUUGUUCGGAAUUACUGGGGCGUAAAAGGGCGCGCAGGCGGCUUCUGAAAGUCAGAUGUGAAAGACCCCGGGCUUAACCUGGGAACUGCAUUUGAUACUCUAGAGGCUUGAGUACGGGAGAGGAGGAGUGGAAUUCCCAGUGUAGAGGUGGAAAUUCGUAGAUAUUGGGAAGAACACCGGUGGCGAAGGCGGCUAGCUCGUGGACCGUAACGUGACGCUGAGGCGCGAAAGCGUGGGGAGCAAACAGGG